Molecule: ribosomal RNA, 426 nt
Filed under: uncultured prokaryote
Description: bacterial SSU rRNA
Rfam family: Bacterial small subunit ribosomal RNA
Source: RNAcentral
UGGGGAAUUUUCCGCAAUGGGCGCAAGCCUGACGGAGCAACGCCGCGUGAGGGAGGAAGGCCUGUGGGUUGUAAACCUCUUUUCUCUGGGAAGAAGGUCUGACGGUACUAGAGGAAUCAGCAUCGGCUAACUCCGUGCCAGCAGCCGCGGUAAGACGGAGGAUGCAAGCGUUAUCCGGAAUUAUUGGGCGUAAAGCGUCCCUAGGCGGUUAUACAAGUCUGCUGUUAAAGACUACAGCUCAACUGUGGGAUGGCGGUGGAAACUGUGUGACUAGAGUUCGGUAGGGGUAGAGGGAAUUCCCAGUGUAGCGGUGAAAUGCGUAGAUAUUGGGAAUAACACCAGUGGCGAAGGCGCUCUACUGGGCCGAGACUGACGCUGAUGGACGAAAGCGAGGGGAGCGAACAGGAUUAGAUACCCGUGUAGUCC